AAUCAACGCUGGCGGCGUGCCUAACACAUGCAAGUCGAACGCGAAAGUGGAGCAAUCCAUGAGUAGAGUGGCAAACGGGUGAGUAACACGUGGGUGACCUGCCUUCGAGUGGGGGAUAACGUUUCGAAAGGAACGCUAAUACCGCAUAACAUGCUGUCUUUUAACAGAUGGACAUCAAAGCCGGGGACCGCAAGGCCUGGCGCUUGAAGAGGGGCCCGCGCCUGAUUAGCUAGUUGGUGGGGUAAUGGCUCACCAAGGCAACGAUCAGUAUCCGGCCUGAGAGGGCGGACGGACACACUGGGACUGAGACACGGCCCAGACUCCUACGGGAGGCAGCAGUGGGAAUUGUUCGCAAUGGGCGCAAGCCUGACGACGCAACGCCGCGUGGAGGAUGAAGAUCUUCGGGUUGUAAACUCCUUUCGAUCGAGACGAAUGGCCCUUGGGCUAACACU
RNAcentral lists this ribosomal RNA (452 nucleotides) under uncultured bacterium. RNAcentral describes it as "bacterial SSU rRNA". It matches the Rfam family "Bacterial small subunit ribosomal RNA", at positions 32 to 476 of the family's 1533-position model. The record is from RNAcentral.